UACGUAGGCAGCAAGCGUUGUUCGGACUUACUGGGCGUAAAGGGUGCGUAGGCGGCUUUUUAAGUUUGGUGUGAAAUCUCCCGGCUCAACUGGGAGGGUGCGCCGAAUACUGAGAAGCUAGAGUGUGGGAGAGGAAAGUGGAAUUCCUGGUGUAGCGGUGAAAUGCGUAGAUAUCAGGAGGAACACCGGUGGUGUAAACGGCUUUCUGGACCAUAACUGACGCUGAGGCACGAAAGCGUGGGUAGCAAACAGG
RNAcentral lists this ribosomal RNA (253 nucleotides) under uncultured bacterium. RNAcentral's name for it is "partial 16S ribosomal RNA". It matches the Rfam family "Bacterial small subunit ribosomal RNA", at positions 524 to 776 of the family's 1533-position model. The record is from RNAcentral.